Molecule: long non-coding RNA, 1125 nt
Organism: Cannabis sativa
Lineage: Eukaryota; Viridiplantae; Streptophyta; Magnoliopsida; Rosales; Cannabaceae
Exons: 2
Source: RefSeq, a predicted model, not a curated record
UAACCCUUUCUUUUAGAAAUCUUGAUUUUGAGAAAAAAGGGCUUGAUUUGGUGUAGCUUUGUGGAUGUUCUUGCUUGGGAAGAACUUGAGGAACUUGUGGUAAUGAUCUUUAGCCUUUUUGAUUUAUUAAUUUCUGAUGUUAUGUAAUGAAUUAAGGUGUUCUUGAUUUUCUUAAAAUUAUGGAUGCAUGAUAGUGGAAUUAGAGGUGAUUUUGGUGUUAAUCUUAAUGUUUUAGCUUGAUUAUAUUGUUGAGUUGAGGAGUAUGUUUACUAGUAAUUUCAGAUGAGAUUUCUAAGGUUAUAUUGUGUUUGAAAUCUAACCUUAAGUUCUGAUUUUUGUUGUGUUCAAGCAUGAGGUAUUUGGGGUUUUGAUGUUCAUGAUUAUAGACUUGAUUUCUAGGUUGAAUUUUGCUCAAGUGUUGAGCUUGGCUUGAGUGUUGUUAAACUAAUUUGUGGGAUACAUAUUCUGUGGUGAAUUUAAGCAUGAAAUUUGUGUUUUUACUCUGUGAUUUGGUUGAGGUUCGAAUAUAUGGUAAAGUGGGCAUGUUUAAGACCUUAAAAAUGGAGUUUUGGGGUGUUCUAAACCCAGUAGUCGCGACGGGAUUUUCGGCCGUCGCGACUGGAUCUGGCAGUGAGAAAUUCUGUUUUUCUCAAUUUUGUUUUGGCCAUAACUUUUGACUCGGGACUCCGUUUGGGACGUUCUUUAUACCGUUGGAAAGCUCUUUUCGAGCUCUAUGUGAUUAUCUGUAUUUGAAAUGCCAUGAAUUUAUUUUAUGAAUGUGAAAUCAGGGGUUAACCCUAUUUGUGAAAAUCCCGGAUUGUGUGUGACUAGGAUUACCGGCACCUGGUCAGGAGCACCCGGGGAUUUGGAAUCUCUACUAUUGCGGGACAACAGGAAAGGGUAAGGCAUUAGCUGAUCAGCCAUGAGUUUCAGGAGCAGGGCGAAGAAUGUACAUGUUCAUGCCACUUCAGACCAAGCGGGUUAUGGGUCUAACAGUGUUGACUUUUGUAUUCUGUUUUGCCGCUUAGGUCGGCUAGUAAGAAAGAACUUGUAAUAAUUUUGUAAAUAUUUUUGGGAUCCCAACUAUGUUUGAAAAAGUUUAAAUAUAUUACAAGUUUAUUUUCA